GUGAAAGAGUGGAAAGAAAGUGGAGAGAAUGAACAGGAGAAGAGGAAAGCAGAGAGAAAAAUGGGCCGGACGAGCAGCACAAUUGCAGAGCAGGAGGUUUCGGCACAGAAAACACAUUUAGCAGGAGCCUGUCUGCCAUCACCCGCAGCACCGGGACCUGCUGGCCCCCAGACAGAGAGAGAGUGAGAUCCACCAGGGAACCGGGGAACCGUGAUCCGACGCUCGUCCAGCCAGAGACCCGGCGCUGAUGUGCCUCAGCUGUCACCCUCCGACAGUGAUGGAGAGAGAGUCAGAGGAGAGGAGAGGCGUGGUGUCGCACUGGGAAAGCUCCGCUAAUCUAAUGAGAAAUUAUCUUUUAUGCUUUAUGAGUAUUUCGUGGUACGCACAGGAAUUAGUGUGCUUGCUUUGAAGUGUACGAGAAAAAUCUAAAAUUAAAUAAUCAAAUGAGAAAUAACUACAUGGUUGCUUUAAAAAACAAAUUUCAUGUUAAAUCACCAGGAAAAAAAUGAUAUAGCUUAAUGUAUGCUAUGCAUCAAAGGUUUGAAGUCAGUAAAAAAUUUCAGUAAAAAAAAAGUAUUUUACAGCAAGUAUGGAAUAAACUGAUUAAAAGUUGCAACCAAAAAAAAAAAAAAA
Pimephales promelas (fathead minnow) is the source of this 633-nucleotide non-coding RNA. The record is from RefSeq and is a predicted model, not a curated record. Lineage: Eukaryota; Metazoa; Chordata; Actinopteri; Cypriniformes; Leuciscidae.